Long non-coding RNA from Pyrgilauda ruficollis (rufous-necked snowfinch), 1162 nucleotides. RefSeq lists it as uncharacterized. NCBI's taxonomy places the organism in Eukaryota, Metazoa, Chordata, Aves, Passeriformes, Passeridae. The record is from RefSeq and is a predicted model, not a curated record. The transcript is spliced from 2 exons.
AAGUCUGGUUAACAAAAAACAGCAUCAGUAAAUGCAUGGAGCAAUAAUUCAGCUUAAGUCUGAUUUAUGUGGGUUUUUGGCAGAAAGUUCUAGAUGCAAGGAUGGUUGGGAGCUAAACAUGCACAGCUUUGCAAACACUGCUGAUGUAAGCAUGCUCUGCUCUGCUUCCCACUGACAAGGGCAGGGGAACAGAAAUGCUCAGGAAAAACAGAAGCAUUGAGGAUGAAAUUAAUGGGAAAUUUUACAAAUUCUUAAAAAAGCCACAAUCACUUAUUUUUGCUUCCCAGUGAGCAGAUCCUACUCACUGCUUGCAUCCUCUGAGAAUUGAGGUUGCCAGUAUUAGGUCAAGUGGCCAACUGUUUUGAGGCAAGUCCUGCUCCAAGGGAAUGGUGGGGGACAUUUGGAAGUGGAAGAGGAAGAGUCUGGAACAGAUUGUAGAGGAGGGCAUGUAAAAAAGCAGUAAAAACAAUUGCUAAGGAUGAGAAAGGAAACAGAAAGAGCAAAACCUUGGAGAACAAAGAGCAGGAAAAAAGAAGAUCAAAGUGGCAGAAGAAUGGCAAAUUCUGGCAUAACAGGGAUGUGCCCUUCAUCUCUUGGAAAUGCUGCUUCCCUGUAGGAAGCCAUGGGCAGAAAAAGCAUGGAAUACCUUUCCAGCUGGCAGCAACUGCAGCUCUGGGCUCCAGUUUAUUCUCUGCUCUGAUGGCAGCCUUUGGGAUCCACUUCUCUGCUCGUGGAGCCCUGAUGGUGACUCUCCCACUCCUCAUGGCCUGGUUUGGACGUGCUGAAGUCGGGAAGAGACCUGGUCAGCUUCUCACUGAAGUAUCUCUGAACCUCAUCCAGCUCGCUCAAGUUCUUUCUGCAAUCAGUGGUAAAAAAUUCGGUCAGAGAGGGAAAAUGAGCCUGUGGCAGUUGGGUUUAAGCUGGAUCAUUCCAGCCAACAACAGGUAAAUAUGCAAAUAAAAGAUUAAAGGUUUUUAUUGAAAAGCAGAUCAGUAGGCAAGUGUUGAGGUUGCUCUAAGCAAGAGGAUAACAAUCCAGAACAAAUCCUGACUUGGCUAUGAAACUUGGGCUGGAAGCUAAAAAAGAGCUAGUUCUAAGCUUACUUAAUCAAAGGAGUGGGAUUUGAGAUGACCUUCCAAUAAAAGUCAAAAAGCCAAGGAUA